This 494-nucleotide ribosomal RNA is filed under the name uncultured bacterium. Its description in RNAcentral is "partial 16S ribosomal RNA". It matches the Rfam family "Bacterial small subunit ribosomal RNA", at positions 28 to 507 of the family's 1533-position model. The record is from RNAcentral.
GACGAACGCUGGCGGCGUGCUUAACACAUGCAAGUCGAACGGAAAGGCCUGCUUUCCCUUGUGGAUUGCGGGUACUCGAGUGGCGAACGGGUGAGUAACACGUGAGUGAUCUGCCCCCAACUUGGGUAUAAGCCUGGGAAACUGGGUCUAAUUCCCGAUAGGACUGCAGGGUGGUGCCUGUGGUGGAAAACGAUUUUCUAGUGGUUGGGGAUGGGCUCGCGGCCUAUCAGCUUGUUGGUUGGGUAAUGGCCUACCAAGGCGGCGACGGGUAGCCGGCCUGGGAGGGUGGACGGCAACAUUGGGACUGAGAUACGGCCCAGACUCCUACGGGAGGCAGCAGUGGGGAAUAUGACACAAUGGGCGGAAGCCUGAUGCAGCGACGCCGCGUGGGGGAUGACGGCCUUCGGGUUGUAAACUCCUUUCGACCGCGAGGAAGCCACCUGGUUGGAAGGGUGGUGACGGUAGUGGUAGAAGAAGCACCGGCUAACUACGUG